Gadus morhua (Atlantic cod) is the source of this 301-nucleotide long non-coding RNA. RefSeq lists it as uncharacterized. The record is from RefSeq and is a predicted model, not a curated record. The transcript has 3 exons. NCBI's taxonomy places the organism in Eukaryota, Metazoa, Chordata, Actinopteri, Gadiformes, Gadidae.
UCAAAGACCUGGCUUUCUUGGAAGACCACGGCACCAAGGACAUGGUAUUCACGAAGCUAACAGCAGAGGUGGUGAUGAUGGAGGAAGAGGCAAGUGACAGUGGCACACUCAAUGAGGGCCAGGCAGGUGACAGUGGCACACUGACUGAGGGCCAGGCAGAGGUUGACAGAAGCCCAGAGGAAGAGAGAGAUGAUGUCCCCCCCAAGAAGACAGCCUUGAACCAGAUGUUUGGGGAUUUCCUCACUGCGAGAGCACCAAUGAAGACCACAAGGGAGAGGGCUAGGGCAGAAAUCUUAAAGUA